Molecule: ribosomal RNA, 254 nt
Filed under: uncultured bacterium
Lineage: Bacteria
Description: partial 16S ribosomal RNA
Rfam family: Bacterial small subunit ribosomal RNA
Source: RNAcentral
UACAGAGGGUGCGAGCGUUGUCCGGAAUCACUGGGCGUAAAGGGCGCGUAGGUGGUGGCUUAAGCGUGCGGUGAAAGCUCGAGGCUCAACCCCGAGUCGGCCGUGCGAACUGGGCUCACUGGAGCAUAGUAGAGGCAGGUGGAAUUCCGGGUGUAGCGGUGGAAUGCGUAGAGAUGUGGAGGAACACCAGUGGCGAAGGCGACUCUUUGGCCUGUAACUGACGCUGAGGCGCGAAAGCGUGGGGAGCAAACAGG